RNAcentral lists this ribosomal RNA (821 nucleotides) under uncultured eukaryote. RNAcentral describes it as "SSU rRNA". It matches the Rfam family "Eukaryotic small subunit ribosomal RNA", at positions 629 to 1426 of the family's 1831-position model. The record is from RNAcentral.
CGGUGUUUAACUGGCGUGAUGUGGGACGUCCUACCGGUGGGCUUAGCCUCGCGAGGGGCGGCCCAACUAAUAUCCCGUCGCGGUGCUCUUUACUGAGUGUCGAGUCGGGCCGGUACGUUUACUUUGAACAAAUUAGAGUGCUUAAAGCAGGCUAUCCUCGCCUGAAUACUGCGUGCAUGGAAUAAUGGAAUAGGACCUCGGUUCUAUUUUGUUGGUUUUCGGAACCCCGAGGUAAUGAUUAAUAGGGACAGAUGGGGGCAUUCGUAUUGCGACGUUAGAGGUGAAAUUCUUGGAUCGUCGCAAGACGGACAGAAGCGAAAGCAUUUGCCAAAAAUGUUUUCAUUAAUCAAGAACGAAAGUUAGAGGUUCGAAGGCGAUCAGAUACCGCCCUAGUUCUAACCAUAAACGAUGCCAGCUAGCGAUCCGCCGAAGUUCCUCCGAUGACUCGGCGGGCAGCUUCCGGGGAAACCAAAGCUUUUGGGUUCCGGGGGAAGUAUGGUUGCAAAGCUGAAACUUAAAGGAAUUGACGGAAGGGCACCACCAGGAGUGGAGCCUGCGGCUUAAUUUGACUCAACACGGGAAACCUCACCAGGCCCAGACACCCGGAAGGAUUGACAGAUUGAUAGCUCUUUCUUGAUUCGGUGGGUGGUGGUGCAUGGCCGUUCUUAGUUGGUGGAGCGAUUUGUCUGGUUAAUUCCGAUAACGAACGAGACUCUAGCCUGCUAAAUAGGCGUACCUUAUGGUAUCGCGAAGGCCCCCGGCUUCGGCCGGUGGGUUUUUACUACCAACGUACAAACAAAUCUUCUUAGAGGGACAGGCGG